CAUCUUCAUCUUCAUCCUCAUCGUCAGUGGUGAUGUCAGAUUGAGGAAAAGACCCGAAACAUCGAAAAUCGAAACGAAUGGCCCGCAAGCACGUUAAGAACUGCAUGACUUCUUUCUUGAAACCGAGUGAGUCCACCCAACUUAGUCUCUUUUUGUGUUUCCUGCCGUUGUGAAUUCUUUCGAUCUCUUCCAUCACUGAUUGCCAACUUUUGCACGAGCUUGUCUUAGACCUGACUUUGAUCUGUCCGGCGCAUGUGACUUUCGGGGAGGUUGGUUCCGUGAUCUCGGAUCCCAUUUGCUUGUUUUUAGCCCAUAGGAGAGGGCUAGCUUGGCCGCCAGCUCCACAACCUUUUCUGGUGCUUGAUUUCUUA
This 371-nucleotide long non-coding RNA is filed under the name Gossypium barbadense (sea-island cotton). Its description in RNAcentral is "long non-coding RNA (GBAR_LNC016213)". The record is from RNAcentral. Lineage: Eukaryota; Viridiplantae; Streptophyta; Magnoliopsida; Malvales; Malvaceae.